RNAcentral lists this ribosomal RNA (273 nucleotides) under uncultured bacterium. Its description in RNAcentral is "partial 16S ribosomal RNA". It matches the Rfam family "Bacterial small subunit ribosomal RNA", at positions 523 to 796 of the family's 1533-position model. The record is from RNAcentral.
AUACGAAGGGGGCUAGCGUUGUUCGGAAUUACUGGGCGUAAAGCGCGCGUAGGCGGACUGAUCAGUUGGGGGUGAAAUCCCAGGGCUUAACCCUGGAACUGCCUCCAAUACUGUCAGUCUUGAGUUCGGGAGAGGUGAGUGGAAUUCCUAGUGUAGAGGUGAAAUUCGUAGAUAUUAGGAAGAACACCAGUGGCGAAGGCGGCUCACUGGCCCGAUACUGACGCUGAGGCGCGAAAGCGUGGGGAGCAAACAGGAUUAGAAACCCAGUAGUCC